CAAUUGCCCGUGAUGGUUAUAUUUUUAGCUGGAGUUAUAAUGGCAAUGAUGAUAAAUUCAGCGAUGACGAUGAGCAAGAUUCAGAGCCACCCUCUCCAGGGACACCAGAGCGUGAUGGCAAAGGGAAUUUGGAUAGUGGAAGCCAGAGUAACCUGAAAAAAAGAAAGGAUUUUGAUGGGAAGGAUGGUAAUUUGGGUGUAAAAGAGGGUUAUUUGCAUAAAGGGAAAUGGGAAUUGCUAAGGAAAGAUGG
RNAcentral lists this unclassified non-coding RNA (250 nucleotides) under Hevea brasiliensis (rubber tree). The record is from RNAcentral. Lineage: Eukaryota; Viridiplantae; Streptophyta; Magnoliopsida; Malpighiales; Euphorbiaceae.